Molecule: RNA transcript, 3769 nt
Organism: Siniperca chuatsi (mandarin fish)
Lineage: Eukaryota; Metazoa; Chordata; Actinopteri; Centrarchiformes; Sinipercidae
Gene: engl
Gene name: endoglin, like
Exons: 18
Source: RefSeq, a predicted model, not a curated record
UAAUUGUGUCUUUACAACUGCUUCCCCCUUAAGUCCCACUCGAUGUGUAAAAUGAAUUUCCAGUGAGAAAUGUGUCACCUCAGCUGCAUGAAGGUGGCCGACGCCACACGCGGCUGAAAGCUGAGUAUUUUUGCGUGGUCCAAGAUGUGGAGGGUGUGUGUGACUGCGCGGUUGUGUGUUUAGGAAAUGAGGGGGGCGUGUGUUGAGUUGUGAACACAGCCCUCACAGUGAAGCCUGAAGCAACAGCUGGAUCAGCAGUCCGCCUGUCCCUCCGUGCGGCGCAGCAGGAUGUUGCAAGAGGGGUCAUUACAUUAAGUCAGUCUAGUAGUGAAACGUUCAUGAUGCCUUCGCUGUCAGGGGUUGGAUGGACUGUUUUCUCGCUCCUUCUGCUCGGGAAGAGAACAGCAGCUCAAAGUGUGGAGGGGCGAUGCUCUGUGGCUGGUCCAGUGGGGGUGCUACACCCUGUUCAGGGUCUGCUGGAGAGGUUUGAGGCUGGUCCGGGCUGUGCUGCUAGAGAACGCGGGAACAAGGAAACACAUGUCAUUGCAGUGGGGAGAGUGACAAACAGCCCCGAAAACAAGGUGACGGUGUUGCUGAAGCCUUUGUCUCUGUCCCCCUCACCUCUCAGGGCCCUCCACCUGCUGCUCAGCUCCAAGCUCCCAGUCACCUGGUGGCUGGAGGCUGAGAGACUGCCACCCAACCUCCCAGUGCUGGUGCAGGUAUCCUCAAACUCCAGUGUACAGUCCCGCACCCUGCUUUUGCAUGUCCAAACAGUGCAUUCGCUACCGUUUCAUCCACAUGCGCUGCACCGCUGGGCUCUGAAACACCAUGGCAACCUGUCCUCUCUGACACACACAACACACGGCAAUCGAGUCUACGUCCUCCUGGGAGAGGAUCCAACCCUGCCUGCUGUGUGCCAUCUGCAGUCCAUGUUCCUCUCUCACAACUACAUGACCUCUGACCUGCAGCCACAGGAAGUGUGGGGCUGCGCCGGCGAGCCAGCAGGUGGGAUCAGCCCUGAAGUCCACGUGAUCAGGCUCCAUUCAGCGGGCUCAGGGCUCUGUGGCUCUCUCCAAGUGGAGGUGAUUGUCUCUCUUGUGCCCCUGGUGGCCAACUCAAAGACCCAGAAGGUUGUGCUGAUUCUCAGCAGCUCGGUGCCAGUCAACUGGGCCAUUGUUGCUCAUGGUGUCCGGGGUCAUAUCUCUGUUCAUUCCUCCAACAGUGUAUCCCCACCCUACCCACCUGAGCCUGACCUGACCCUGUCCAGUACACUAAACUCUGACCUGUCAACCAUAUCUGACCUUCUUGUGUGGGCCAGUGAGAGCGGCUACACCAAGGUGACCUCAUACACUGAGGCUGACCUGGCCAAUCGCUUUGUGAUCCAGCUGGCUGGGGGCGGGACAGACAUGGUUGCAGUGAUGAAUCCUCUGGUUGUGAGGCUUCCCUGGGCUGAGGAGCACAGGCUGAGGCAGUGGCUGAAUGGUGGAGGCAGAGCAGGAGGAGGCCAAGAGAGUUUCGCAGUGCAGUGUGAGGACGGACGCCUCAGCGUGACCGUGGACCAACACAUCCUGCAGAGCUUGUCUGUUCCAGUGGCAGCCGUGACUCUACGAGACUGGACGUGCCAGGCUCAGUCCAAUGGGAGCCAUUUCCUGUUGGUGUUCCCAGUUAUUUCCUGUGGGACUGAGGGUCUGCUCCUGGGACAGUCCCGAAGGGUGCAGUACAAAAACAUGGUGUUAUUAUGGAGAGACGAGCCUCAGACCAUUCUGGCACUGAAUGAGACAGAAAACAAGUCCAAAAGUCCACUCAGCAUACAUUUCAGCUGUAUGGCUGCAGUCCCCACCCUCCCCGGCCCUGCCAACGGUGAUGAUGUCGAUGUUAACACUACUGAGGCAGGGCUGGUCCCGUGGGCACCCGAGGGUCCUUAUCCAGGACUGAGCCACCUACCAACACCCAGACACAGAUCUGGGCCUGUUCUUAUUUUGAAGCUUUUUGUCACUGAGAGCUACGAGCAGGAGCGGAUUGGCCCCUGUGUCAUCACUGCAGACCACCGUGUCUUUGUUGAGAUUUCAGCCAAAGGGCCCUUCGCAGAUGUCUUGGAGGUGAAGUCAUGUGUGAUCUCUCCUCUGUCAGACCCAAAAAAGUCCCGUUUCUGGACUGUCAUAAGCGACGGCUGUUCCUCAGACCCCUCACUGACCCUUGGUGCAAAGGCAAAAGUUGAAGAGGAAGAAGAGGCUGAAGGUGAUGGUGAACUGGAAGAGGAAAAGGAAGAGACAGAAGGUCUGGUAAAAGUCAGAACUUAUGACAGAGAUGGACAUGUCUCACUCCGACACAAAGUUGAAAGAAGAGCAGGAGAAGCACCAGAAAGGAGUAGCAAAAGUAUGGGAGCAGAGGAGGAGAUACAGCCCUUGAGAUUUAGUUUCAUCCUCCGGCCAGUUUAUAAUGACUCUAUGCAGUUCCUCCACUGCAGCCUUCGCCUUUGUGUCUCUGACUCGACAAGAGGGGAACCCAUGAAGGAAACCGUAAAGAGUGACUGUCAUGGUGGGCUACGUAUCCCUCCACUCGUAUCUAGAUCGCCCAGACAUCAGUGUGAGAUGAGAAACCUCUCCAGGCCCAUGGUGGUCACACAGCCCAUUAGCUCACUGGCACCCAAACUGCUGAGGCCCCCUGCUGGCCAGAGAACCAAGAGACUGAGUGUCUCCCCACGGGCCAGUCCAGACCCAGAGCACAGCCGCUCUGUGGUGCAGACAGGACCACUGAUGGGAAUUGUCUUCGUUGCCUUUGUGAUGGGUGUCAGUAUGAUGGGGGGGCUGUGGUGCAUCUAUUAUUACACAGCAGGAAAAUUUAGGUUUGGGGGAAUUUGGGGAUUUUUGGCUACUUAUCCAGAGUCAGACGAACACAUGCUGCUGUUUUAGCCAUGCUAGCAGCAUGACUCAGACGACAUGGAUGGCAAUGUCGGUCCACCACUUUGGUCCAGACUGAAAUGACUCAACAACUGUUGGAUGGGUUGCCAUGAAAUAUGGACCAUGCCCAGGAUCACUUGGAAGAGAAGGUCAUUUAACAGAUCAGGCUCAUGGAGUCCACAACAUCUGGAAUCCACCUUCACUGUCUGAUCAGUCCUCCAGCUCCGUGUAGAGGAUUUCCUCCUGCAAAUCUGAAAAAGAACUGGGACAGAGGUUCUAACAACUUACUUGUGUGUGUGUGUGUGUGUGUGUGAGCGAGCACAGCUGCCUGUGUGUGCAGAGCCGUGUUUGUGCAGUUCUCCUCGCGAGUGUCGUUCAUCGCUGUGCAGCAGAAAUGCGAGAGGACUGGAACCAUGUGAAUACAGUAGCACUUACUCAUCGCAGCAUUGUGACAAGUCAGAUGUUUGAUUCAAAGUGAAACAUUGUUAGAUUGAUUGUUUGAUGCUGCAGACAAGUCAUUUCAAAACUUGCAGCGAAUUGGCACAUGAAGAGGCCUUAUCUGGAUUCAACAGGAUCUAAACCUGGUUGGAGUGACUCAAACAGAAACCACAUCAUCGUCGCCUUUAGAGACAGAAUACAAGGUCAAAGAUUAAGAGGUUACUGUGUGUGCCUGUUCGAAGACUCAGUGUUUUACAGUCAUUUUCACUAUUUGUAACUGUGAAUCAGCUGGUUAUCAAAACUGCAUUUAUCUGUACGUGAAGUAUUUUGUUUAUGUUGGAAAAAAGAUGUAUUAAAUGAGCUAAGAGCCACGCUGAUUUGCUGUUUCACUCUCAAAUCACAUGCAACCCAAAUAAAACAAAGGAAGUUAA